GCCUUUAGUAUUCAGUUCCUAUUAGUACCUUUUACGUUUGUCACAAUGAACUACGGUAUUUUCUGUCUUCUGUAUGCUACACUUGCUGUUCCUGUCGUUUUUGGUUAUCCUCCUGGUUCUUGUGAUGGAUACACCAAUAUAACUGAAUCGUGGCGCAACUUUAAAUAUUAUGGCAGUAUAUCACCUGGCUAUCCCAAUGAUGAUGCAAAACUUGUUGGCAGUUGGUGGAGGUUUACUGGUAUUGGUGGUGACGUUGUUGUGAAUGCGUGUGUGGGCACUUGGAGUGGAGGAACCAUAUCAGUCAUCCACAUUCAAACAAGUGACCAUCCAUCUGAAGAGUUAGAGACCCCUUUACGAUCAAGGGCUUACGGCAAUAUCGAUACUUACUGCAACGAUGUUACCAUGCAAGUUGACAUUGUUCUCUGCCCUGGAGGGUUUUAUAUUUACAGGCCACUGAAUCACAAAGCCCCAGAAAUGGGGUACUUAACAAUGCACUCAACCUGUAGACCGGACAGUUGUGGACCUUCAACAAUAUGCACCGUAUUAGGGGGAUGUGUUUGUGUUCCUGGACGCUUAUUAUCAACUGUAUUUCCACCUACUCAAGACUCAUUUGAAUGUGUUGAUAUUGAUGAGUGCCUAGCGCCUAUUUGUGGACCUUUUGCCAACUGUACCAACAUCAUUGAGUCCUACUCAUGUGUCUGUAUGGAAGGGUAUGAACCAACCAACCCAGGUCUUCCAAUUAAAUCUGACAACCCGUGCACAGGUACAAAGCAAGUUUAAAAUAUGCUCUAAUAUCUCAAGCAUAAAGUAGUAUUGUUUUACAAUAUUUUCCUUUAUAC
Molecule: long non-coding RNA, 839 nt
Filed under: Gouania willdenowi (blunt-snouted clingfish)
Lineage: Eukaryota; Metazoa; Chordata; Actinopteri; Blenniiformes; Gobiesocidae
Description: lncRNA (ENSGWIG00000011819.1)
Source: RNAcentral